UAACUAGGCCUACUACUACUUGUUCUAAGCAGGUGUUGUCAGUGAACAGGCUGUAAAACUGUUGUCUAAGUUACAGACACUCAUGAAAAACUGAUGCUAAUUAUCUGGGAAACAUUGUCUAACAUCAGUCAAGUUGUCAUUUUUUGUGUCAAACAAGUUGUUUUUAUAACAUUAAAACAGGCGAUCAUGAUUUAUCUUGAAUCUUACCCAGAUACAAUAGUGCUAUUUUCUGAUUGGCUAUUGUAGGGUAGAGUGAGUAUAGUUGAGACACUUUUUUCGUUUUGAUAUUUCACACAAAAAUAGAUACUGAAAAGAAGUGAAUUUCCACAUGACAUGCCACAUGACAUUUCAUUAGCUUGUAGACUAAGAUAUUAUCAAUCAAUAAUACCCAUGAGUAGUUUAUAUUUUCCACAAUUAGCUCAUAAAAAUAAGGUGCUUUUUGUCUCAACUUUGUCUCAACUGUACCCAUAUGUGGUACAGUUGAGACACCCAUUUUUAAUGAUGUAAAGGUAAACUAAUCGUUCAUUGCAAAUAUAAUAAAUAAAGACAAAUAAAUAAAAUAACAAUUGUGCAACAUGUUUGUUUAUUCAUCCAUUUAAAUUAAUUAAUUUUGUUUAAAUUGGCUUUAUGCACAGCUGCACUACUUCCUGAACAUUAUUGGACAAACUGAUUAAUCCAGGUGUGCCUGACCUCAGUAGUCACAACAACAAUAAUCAGACACACCUGGAUUAAUCAGUUUGUCCAAUAAUGGCAGACAGGAAACAAAGGAGCUGGCUGAAGUUCAGGAAUUAGUGCAGCUGUGCAUAAAGCCAAUUAGCACUGGUAAAAAUUUAUAAAACAGAAACAAUAUAUUUUAUAUAUUAUUUAAUAAUACAGUUUAUUUAUCACAAAUAUCCAAUUUUAAUUUAAUUUUGCGGCUUAUGCUGGCUAAUUACUGACGUUUAACCUUGUUUUUCACUGUGUUCACAUAUUAGAUGGAGAAAUAAUUACAGAGGGAUUUAUGGAUAUCUGCUUUUGUUAUCCUGUAAAUCAGAAUAUACUGUCUAUGAAUAUGUUGCCCAUACCUCUCUAUCAUUUAUCAGUCUUUUACUUCUCACUAAUUUAGACUUUUGUUUCCACAGGUGGGAAUGCUGUCCUCCAUUGGUUGAAGAGAUACCAAAAACAUCAUAACCAACCAUGGCCAUUAUGGCUCCAUGCUUAAGGGUCACGGCUAUCAUGUCUUCCACACUCUGGGUCUUGUGGUGUGGAUACACCUUACUGCAGGCACCUUCAAGUUAUAGUUCACAUCUACAAAGUAUGAAGGAUAGACACGACAAUUCUGAUUCCACGAUCUUCCAACAUGAAUGCCCUCCUCUCAAGUGCCUUUCUGUCAAGGCAACGCAUUUGUGAGUGCCUAAUGCUAGCUACAUACGCUCCAUAAAGACGGGAAUCGCAUGGUGUCAUCAGAUAUGGCUGUAAAUUGGUGAACACUCUGCAUAACAUUGUGUUGUCCACCCCUUCUGACACCACCUCACAACAUUCUUCAGGGCUUAAAACAAACACAUUGUUUGGGCUUUUCAAUGACACCACUUUUUCCUUGUUUUCUUGCUUCAGCUUUGAUGUUUCCUCCAGACGAUUUGCUACUUGAGUUAAGACAUUUUUUCCAGAGCGGACCAUGUUCUUCAUCUGAUGUAGAUAGUUUUCAAAUUUAAACGCACUGCAGUUGUCAAGGCAGCCAAAGUUUUGAGCAUCUUCUGAAAGGUGCAGCAAUGAAUGGACGUUGUACACUAAAAAUGUCUCUCCAUAUAUCUCCCGUCCUUUCUCCACAAAGUAUUGAAGUAGUUGGCUGGCAUAAGGCCCUUGUGCCUUUGUAAGUUCUGGACUCACUAAGAUGCACAGAGCAGUGCUAAAACACAAGAAGUGUUCGUACAGUUGUCCUUGUAGUGCUCCCUUCAGAACUAUCUUCCCUGUGUAUAAUGCAAACUGUCUGAAUUCGGUUGCUUUCCAACGCUCAAUUUCUUGCAACCCCCUUGGCUUUCUGGCAAAGCAGUCAGGAAUUGUUUUCUUCAGUGUCACCAGCCUAUUGCUUACACGGGCCACGUCCCCUGAUGACAUGCGGUACUCGGAUCUACCUCUUGUCCACAAUAGCAGCAACUUUUUCAUGACCCCAAGGCAGCUCUGGUGCAUGUAAUCGAUGGGGAAUGAUUUGAUCAUGUCGAUUGGGAGGACAGAGAAAGGCGAAAUCUUCUCCUCGUGAUGGUGUUCUGGUUGCCAACACUCCCUGAAUGAUUGGUCUGUCCUCAAGGUCAGAUUGUCAACAUCUGGAUACGUCAUCCGACCAUCCCAGGAUCCCUUCUGGGUGCAUCUGUCGCACCCAUAGUAGCCCGAGAACUGCUUGACACACUUGACCAUGGCUUUGGCAGGAGCAUCGCAGGUUUGGAUGCAGCAGUGGUGAGGCAGAGGGGAAAAUACAUGCUGGUGACAAAUUAAUGGAACAAAGAACUGGCCAGAGGGACAAGUUUGAGCUUUUAAAUAAUGGUAGCCCAUCAACAUUUAAGGAGAGGUCCAGUGACUGCAGAUGGUCUGUCACAGCUGCAUAAUAUCUGCUCAGAUGCUUUGAGAGCUGAUCUGCCACAUUGAACUGUACACUCUCAACAGCAUCUUUGGUAUCCCUGGUGUCAUAGUUUACUUCCUGGAGGAGGAUGCUUUAGCAAUUUCAGCAUUGGACUUGUUCCCAUCCUUUUUGGUCGCCUCUCCUGCACUUGCUGUUUGGAAGUCAUUGCUUGCAUCUGAUUCAGGACCUGUCAUUCUGCAUUUCUGUUUUCAUUCGCUUUGCUUACAUUUUGAACCCUUAGCAAUAAUAAACGUUUUCUAUUUGGGCUAUAGUUGUACAUUCAAGUUUGUUUUUUCUUAAUUGAAUGUGUUUGUGUGGAUAUGCAACAAUUAUUUAUUUUAUAGUACUUCAUUGAUGGAAAUUUGCAAAGAUUCUGAAUUAAAAAAAACACAUUAACAUUGUUCUUAAUUUUUAUUGUCAUUGUUUUAAUCAGUUAAUCUAUAACUGCACAAUGGUGGUGCACUAUUGCCUGAUUUUGUGUGCAUUGUGAUUUAGAUUAUGCAACACAUUAAAUUGACCCUAAUUAAGUCA
Xyrauchen texanus (razorback sucker) is the source of this 3124-nucleotide long non-coding RNA. RefSeq lists it as uncharacterized. NCBI's taxonomy places the organism in Eukaryota, Metazoa, Chordata, Actinopteri, Cypriniformes, Catostomidae. The transcript has 6 exons. The record is from RefSeq and is a predicted model, not a curated record.